AAUCGUGAGGGUUCAAGUCCCUCUAUCCCCA
RNAcentral lists this transfer RNA (31 nucleotides) under Neillia sinensis. RNAcentral describes it as "partial tRNA-Leu". RNAcentral also lists the same sequence under 62 other names. Lineage: Eukaryota; Viridiplantae; Streptophyta; Magnoliopsida; Rosales; Rosaceae. The record is from RNAcentral.